This 256-nucleotide ribosomal RNA is filed under the name uncultured bacterium. Its description in RNAcentral is "partial 16S ribosomal RNA". It matches the Rfam family "Bacterial small subunit ribosomal RNA", at positions 524 to 776 of the family's 1533-position model. The record is from RNAcentral.
UACGUAGGGUGCAAGCGUUGUCCGGAAUUAUUGGGCGUAAAGAGCUCGUAGGCGGUCUGUCGCGUCUGCUGUGAAAACUCAGGGCUUAACCCUGAGCUUGCAGUGGGUACGGGCAGACUAGAGUGCGGUAGGGGAGACUGGAAUUCCUGGUGUAGCGGUGAAAUGCGUAGAGAUCCGGGAGGAAGACCGGUGGCGAAGGCGGCCUGCUGGGCAGUUACUGACGCUGAGGCGCAACAGCGGUGGGGGAGCAAACAGG